RNAcentral lists this ribosomal RNA (506 nucleotides) under Bosminopsis cf. deitersi DK-2020. RNAcentral describes it as "partial large subunit ribosomal RNA". It matches the Rfam family "Bacterial large subunit ribosomal RNA", at positions 1829 to 2597 of the family's 2925-position model. Lineage: Eukaryota; Metazoa; Arthropoda; Branchiopoda; Diplostraca; Bosminidae. The record is from RNAcentral.
CGUCUUUAGAUAAAUUGAAGGUACUGCCUGCUCAAUGCUUUUAAAAAUGUGAAUAGCCGCAGUAUUUUGACUGUGCUAAGGUAGCAUAAUCACUCGUCUCUUAAUUAGAGGCUGGUAUGAAUGGCAAGACGAGAGAAUGACUGUCUCUUAGAAGAGAAUUGAAUUUCAUUUCUAAAUGAAAAAGUUUAGAUGUAUUCAUAGGACGAUCAGACCCUAUGGAGUUUUAUUGAGUAAACGAUUUAAAUAAUUUUUUGAUUAUAAAAUCGUUUAUGAGAUUUGGUUGGGGCGACUGUGAGUUUUAAAGUAACACUCUUUUAAAUUAAACACUGUUAAGUGGAAGGUUGAUCCCAAAAGAUGGAUUAAAAGUCUAAGUUACCCUAGGGAUAACAGCGUAAUCCUUCUGGAGAGUUCUUAUCGAUAGAAGGGGUUGCGACCUCGAUGUUGGAUUGAGAGAUUGGUAGGGUGCAGCAGCUCUACAGAAAAGUCUGUUCGACUUUUAAAUUCUC